This 507-nucleotide ribosomal RNA is filed under the name uncultured bacterium. RNAcentral describes it as "partial 16S ribosomal RNA". It matches the Rfam family "Bacterial small subunit ribosomal RNA", at positions 28 to 523 of the family's 1533-position model. The record is from RNAcentral.
GAUGAACGCUAGCUACAGGCUUAACACAUGCAAGUCGAGGGGUAACGAGAGGAAAGCUUGCUUUCCUUGUCGACGACCGGCGCACGGGUGAGUAACGCGUAUCCAACCUGCCCCCCAACUAGGGAAUAACCUUGCGAAAGUAAGACUAAUACCCUAUAAUUUCCUCAGAUGCCAUCUGACGAGGAAUAAAGAUUUAUCGGUUGUGGAUGGGGAUGCGUCUGAUUAGCUUGUUGGCGGGGUAACGGCCCACCAAGGCAACGACCAGUAGGGGUUCUGAGAGGAAGGUCCCCCACAUUGGAACUGAGACACGGUCCAAACUCCUACGGGAGGCAGCAGUGAGGAAUAUUGGUCAAUGGGCGGAAGCCUGAACCAGCCAAGUAGCGUGCAGGAUGACGGCCCUAUGGGUUGUAAACUGCUUUUAUACAGGAAUAAAGUUAGCCACGUGUGGUUAUUUGUAGGUACUGUAUGAAUAAGGACCGGCUAAUUCCGUGCCAGCAGCCGCGGUAA